Molecule: ribosomal RNA, 469 nt
Filed under: uncultured bacterium
Lineage: Bacteria
Description: bacterial SSU rRNA
Rfam family: Bacterial small subunit ribosomal RNA
Source: RNAcentral
ACUCCUACGGGAGGCAGCAGUGGGGAAUAUUCUACAAUGGGGGAAACCCUGAUAGAGCGACGUCGCGUGAGUGAAGAAGGCCUUCGGGUUGUAAAGCUCUGUCACCGGGGAAGAAAGUAUUUAUGAGGAAAUGCAUAGAUAUUGACGGUACCUGGAGAGGAAGCACUGGCUAACUACGUGCCAGCAGCCGCGGUAAUACGUAGAGUGCAAGCGUUGUCCGGAAUUAUUGGGCGUAAAGGGUACGCAGGCGGCCCUGCAAGUCAAAUGUGAAAGGUCACAGCUUAACUGUGAGAAUGCGUUUGAAACUGUAGGGCUUGAGUACAACAGAGGAGAGCGGAAUUCCUGGUGUAGUGGUGAAAUACGUAGAGAUCAGGAAGAACACCAGUGGCGAAGGCGGCUCUCUGGGUUGAUACUGACGCUCAGGUACGAAAGCUAGGGGAGCGAACGGGAUUAGAUACCCCUGUAGUCC